This is an RNA transcript of Cercocebus atys (sooty mangabey), 3880 nucleotides long. It is a transcript of the gene named mannosidase, beta A, lysosomal, with no coding region annotated. The transcript has 17 exons. The record is from RefSeq and is a predicted model, not a curated record. NCBI's taxonomy places the organism in Eukaryota, Metazoa, Chordata, Mammalia, Primates, Cercopithecidae.
AGCUGACCUGGGGGCGGGGCCGGGGCGGGGACCUAAAGCCUCCGCUCCUUCCGAGUGGGUGAGUGGGUUCCCCGCCGGUCUCUUGCAGCGCUGCCUUUCUAUCCUUCCACAUCUCUGUGGCGCGGGCUCCCAAGAUGCGCCUCCACCUACUCCUGCUGCUCGCGCUGUGCGGUACAGAGACCACCGCUGCGGCGCUUAGCUACAGCUUGCGGGGAAACUGGAGCAUCUGCAAUGGGAACGGCUCGCUGGAGCUGCCCGGCGCGGUCCCCGGCUGCGUGCACAGCGCCUUGUUCCAGCAGGGCCUGAUCCAGGAUUCUUACUACAGAUUUAAUGACCUUAACUACAGAUGGAUCUCUUUGGAUAACUGGACCUACAGCAAGGAAUUUAAGAUCCCCUUUGAAAUUAGCAAAUGGCAAAAAGUAAAUUUGAUUCUUGAGGGAGUGGAUACAAUUUCAAAAAUCCUGUUCAAUGAAGUCACUAUUGGGGAAACAGACAAUAUGUUCAAUAGAUAUAGCUUUGAUAUUACCAAUGUGGUCAGGGACGUGAACUCCAUUGAGCUGCGUUUCCAGUCAGCAGUGUUGUACGCAGCACAGCAGAGCAAAGCUCACACACGCUACCCGGUGCCCCCGGACUGCCCUCCACUUGUGCAGAAGGGUGAAUGCCAUGUCAACUUUGUCCGGAAGGAGCAAUGUUCCUUUAGUUGGGACUGGGGACCUUCCUUUCCUACCCAGGGAAUCUGGAAAGAUGUUAGAAUUGAAGCCUAUAAUAAUUGUCACCUGAACGACUUCACAUUUUCCCCAAUAUAUGAUAAGAGUGCCCAGGCGUGGAAUCUGGAAAUAGAGGCUACAUUUGAUGUUGUCAGCUCAAAGCCAGUUGGUGGUCAAGUGAUCGUAGCCAUCCCUAAGUUGCAAACACAACAGAUGUACAACCUUGAACUUCAACCUGGGAAAAGGAUUGUUGAGCUAUUUUUGAACAUUAGCAAGAAUAUUACUGUAGAAACUUGGUGGCCUCAUGGACAUGGAAACCAGACUGGGUACAACAUGACUAUUCUUUUUGUACUGGAUGGAGGCUUAAAUAUCGAAAAAUCAGCUAAGGUUUAUUUUAGGACAGUGGAACUUAUAGAAGAGCCCAUAAAAGGGUCUCCUGGUUUGAGUUUCUAUUUCAAAAUUAAUGGAUUUCCCAUAUUUCUGAAAGGCUCAAACUGGAUCCCGGCAGAUUCAUUCCAGGACCGAGUAACCUCUGAGUUGUUACGGCUCCUUUUACAGUCUGUUGUGGAUGCUAACAUGAAUACUCUUCGGGUUUGGGGAGGAGGAAUUUAUGAGCAGGAUGAGUUCUAUGAACUCUGUGAUGAACUAGGAAUAAUGGUAUGGCAGGAUUUUAUGUUUGCCUGUGCCCUUUAUCCAACUGAUCAGGGCUUCCUGGAUUCAGUGAGAGCAGAAGUUGCCUACCAGAUCAAGAGACUGAAAUCUCAUCCUUCUAUCAUCAUAUGGAGUGGCAAUAAUGAAAAUGAGGAGGCGCUGAUGAUGAAUUGGUACCGUAUCAGUAUCACUGACCGGCCAAUCUACAUCAAGGACUAUGUGACACUCUAUGUGAAAAACAUCAGAGAGCUCGUAUUGGCAGGAGACAAGAGUCGUCCUUUCAUUACGUCCAGUCCUACAAAUGGGGCUGAAACUGUUGCAGAAGGCUGGGUCUCUCAAAACCCUAAUAGCAAUUAUUUUGGUGAUGUACAUUUUUAUGACUAUAUCAGUGAUUGCUGGAACUGGAAAGUUUUCCCAAGAGCUCGAUUUGCAUCUGAAUAUGGAUAUCAGUCCUGGCCAUCCUUCAGUACAUUAGAAAAGGUCUCAUCUACAGAGGACUGGUCUUUCAGUAGCAAGUUUUCACUUCAUCGACAACAUCACGAAGGUGGUAACAAACAAAUGCUUUAUCAGGCUGGACUUCAUUUCAAACUCCCCGAGAGCACAGAUCCAUUACGCACAUUUAAAGAUACCAUCUACCUUACUCAGGUGAUGCAGGCCCAGUGUGUCAAAACAGAAACUGAAUUCUACCGCCGCAGUCGCAGUGAGAUAGUGGAUCAGCAAGGGCACACGAUGGGGGCGCUGUAUUGGCAGUUGAAUGACAUCUGGCAAGCUCCUUCCUGGGCUUCUCUUGAACCCCGAGGAGCCACACGCAGCUGGGCCAUUGGACAAUGCCUCUCUGACUACUUGACCUUGCCAUCUCCUGACACUCUUGAUUAUUUUCAGAGUAUGGAGGAAAGUGGAAAAUGCUUCAUUACUUUGCUCAGAAUUUCUUUGCUCCACUGUUACCAGUAGGCUUUGAGAAUGAAAACACGUUCUAUAUCUAUGGUGUGUCAGAUCUUCACUCGGACUAUUCGAUGACACUCACUGUGAGAGUCCAUACGUGGAGCUCCCUGGAGCCCGUGUGCUCCUGUGUGACUGAACAUUUGGUGAUGAAAGGAGGAGAGGCUGUCCGCCUCUAUGAGGAGCCAGUGUCUGAAUUGCUGAGGAGAUGUGGGAAUUGCACACGGGAAAGCUGUGUGGUUUCCUUUUACCUUUCAGCGGACCAUGAACUCCUGAGCCCGACCAACUACCACUUCCUGUCCUCACUGAAGGAGGCUGUUGGGCUCUGCAAGGCGCAGAUCGCUGCCAUCAUCUCUCAGCAAGGUGACAUAUUUGUUUUUUAUCUGGAGACCUCAGCUGUCGCUCCCUUUGUCUGGUUGGAUGUAGGCAGCAUCCCAGGGAGAUUUAGUGACAACGGUUUCCUCAUGACUGAGAAGACACGAACUAUAUUAUUUUACCCUUGGGAGCCCACCAGCAAGAGUGAGUUGGAGCAAUCUUUUCAUGUAACCUCCCUAACAGAUAUUUACUAAAGGAAUCUAGGUUGUAUUUUCAGUGGACAAUGGGAAUAAAGCAUUUCUAAAGCACUGGCUGGAGAGGAAGGCAACAGAGACAAGGAGAGAAGCCAAGGGACAUGUCUGUGUGCCGCCACCCAUCUGAGCGAUUGCUCUGCGAAGAGUUGUACACUGAACACUUUCAGGGCAGCCUGUUUUCCCAGGCAAUGUCCUGAAACAAGCCUGUGCCGGGGUGUCCUGGAAUCUCUGCCAGGACUGUGUUUUUAGCCCUUCACCUUUCAGCUUUAGCAGGACCUGAACCAGUUAUAACAAGAUGGCCCUGCAGCUGGUUACAAGAAUGUGACAUGGCAGGAUCUAUAGAACCAAACAGAAGGUUUUAAGGUGAUGUAGGUCUUUCAUAGUUAGCUUUGGGGAAUACUGAAUACACAAAUGAAGUGCUUUGUUAUUAUUUCAGAGGGAAUGGCGAUUGAAAUGCUACAACAGAGAUUUCUUGGUGGUAGCCAUAUUGAUAGACAAUUUAGGAGGUUUAUUGGUUUAUUGUUGCUAUUUGAUUACUGUUUGGGGUAGGACACUUUUUUCUUUUAUGGGUUUUGUUGUAAGAUAUUGUUUUAACAACAACUUCUUUUUUUAAAGGCUGUUAGAGUGAUCUUCCUUUGAAAAAUGUGCUCACAUGGAAAUGAAUGCCACUGAGAUCACUGGAAAUUUCUAGGGGUUCUGACAUUGGUCAUCACCCAUGUGGGCUUUAGACUUGGCUAAAUCCAAUAUGCUUUCCAAUGCAAAGCCUGCGAAUUGGAUUUAAACUUGUUGGCCCUGGCAGCAAAAUGGUAUUCCUUUUAGCCUUUUUAUUUUUAUUGACUAAUUAUAAAUUGCUAUAGAAUUGUCUUAUUAUACAUUAUUCUGUUUAUAAAAUUACAUUGAUGAUAAAGCAAAUGAGGCAAAAUGUUAAUGAGUAGCUAUUUGGGUAAAGGUAUAUGGGUAUUUUUCUGUGCGUGUGAAAUUAUAUGAAAAUAAAAGUUACAUAAAUUACAUUGA